RNAcentral lists this ribosomal RNA (461 nucleotides) under uncultured microorganism. RNAcentral describes it as "bacterial SSU rRNA". It matches the Rfam family "Bacterial small subunit ribosomal RNA", at positions 9 to 467 of the family's 1533-position model. The record is from RNAcentral.
GAGUUUGAUCAUGGCUCAGAUUGAACGCUGGCGGCAGGCCUAACACAUGCAAGUCGAGCGGUAACAGGACUAGCUUGCUAGUUGCUGACGAGCGGCGGACGGGUGCGUAACACGUAGGAAUCUGCCCGGUAGUGGGGGAUAGCCCGGAGAAAUCCGGAUUAAUACCGCAUACGCCCUAAGGGGGAAAGAUGGCCUCUUCUCGAAAGCUAUCACUAUCGGAUGAGCCUGCGUCGGAUUAGCUAGUUGGUGAGGUAAAGGCUCACCAAGGCGACGAUCCGUAGCUGGUCUGAGAGGAUGAUCAGCCACACUGGGACUGAGACACGGCCCAGACUCCUACGGGAGGCAGCAGUGGGGAAUAUUGCACAAUGGGCGCAAGCCUGAUGCAGCCAUGCCGCGUGUGUGAAGAAGGCUCUAGGGUUGUAAAGCACUUUCAGCGAGGAGGAAAGGUUAAAGAUUAAUAC